UAAAUUUACUAUUUUACCCAAUAACUCAUGGCCUCCAAAUUAAAAAUGGGUUAAUGGUAGUCUUUACCCUAUUUGAAAGACAAAAACAAAAAUAUACCCACUAUAAAAGAAAUGUAUAAAAUGUAUUCUUUUGGGGGUUAAAAGGACUAAAAUACCCUUAAAACAAAAAAAAAUACCAAACAAAUCCCCUCUCCCCUCAAAUCCCCAAAUCACAGACACUCUUCUCUCUCUCUCUC
This 236-nucleotide long non-coding RNA is filed under the name Salvia miltiorrhiza (redroot sage). RNAcentral describes it as "long non-coding RNA (SMIL_LNC010774)". The record is from RNAcentral. Lineage: Eukaryota; Viridiplantae; Streptophyta; Magnoliopsida; Lamiales; Lamiaceae.